CCAGCCACACUGGAACUGAGACACGGUCCAGACUCCUACGGGAGGCAGCAGUGGGGAAUAUUGCACAAUGGGCGCAAGCCUGAUGCAGCCAUGCCGCGUGUAUGAAGAAGGCCUUCGGGUUGUAAAGUACUUUCAGGGCGGGGGGAGGAAGGUGUUUGGUGGGUUAAUAACCGGCAGGCAAAUUGACGUUACCCCGCAAGAAGAAAAAGCAGCCCGGGCUAACUUCCGUUGCCAGGCAGCUCGCCGGUAAUUACCGGAGGGUGCAAGCGGUUUAAAAUCGGAAUUUACUUGGGCCGUAAAGCCGCCACGCCAGGCGGUCCUGUCCAAGUCGGGAAUGUGAAAAUCCCCGGGCUCCAACCUGGGGAAACUGCAUUUCGAAACUGGCAGGGCUGGAGUCUUGUAGAGGGGGGGUAGAAUUUCCAGGUGUAGCGGUGAAAUGCGUAGAGAUCUGGAGGAAUAACCGGUGGCGAAGGCGGCCCCCCUGGACAAAGACUGACGCUCAGGUGCGAAAGCGUGGGGAGCAAACAGGAUUAGAUACCCUGGUAGUCCAACGCCGUAAACGAUGUCGAUUUGGAGGUUGUGCCCUUUGAAGGCGUGGCCUUCCGGGAGCUAACGCGUUAAAUCAACCGCCUUGGGGAGUACGGCCCGCAAGGGUUAAAAACUCAAAUGAAUUGACGGGGGGCCCGCAACAAGCGGUGGGAAGCAUGGUGGUUUAAAUUCGAUGGCAACGCGAAGAACCCUUACCCUGGGUCUUGGACAUUCAACAGAACUUUUCCAGAGAUGGGAUUUGGGUGCCUUUCCGGGGGAAGCUGUGAGACAGGUGCUGCAUGGCUGUCGUCAGCUCGUGUUGUGAAAUGUUGGGUUAAGUCCCGCAACGAGCGCAACCCUUAUCCUUUGUUGCCAGCGGUUAGGCCGGGAACUCAAAGGAGACUGCCAGUGAUAAACUGGAGGAAGGUGGGGAUGACGUCAAGUCAUCAUGGCCCUUACGACCAGGGCUACACACGUGCUACAAUGGCGCAUACAAAGAGAAGCGACCUCGCGAGAGCAAGCGGACCUCAUAAAGUGCGUCGUAGUCCGGAUUGGAGUCUGCAACUCGACUCCAUGAAGUC
This 1109-nucleotide ribosomal RNA is filed under the name uncultured bacterium. RNAcentral describes it as "bacterial SSU rRNA". It matches the Rfam family "Bacterial small subunit ribosomal RNA", at positions 304 to 1327 of the family's 1533-position model. The record is from RNAcentral.